AAAGGGGGCAGGUAUUGUGGGCAGCUAGCCAGUGGUCAAUGCAAAUCAUGUGAAAUGUGUGCCCACAAGCAGGUAUUUGUUGAAGCUUAUCAUCUGCCAGGUAAUCCCCUAAGCACACUGAACACUGAGUAUCUUUGACAGAAAAACUCUCCUUGAAGACAAUAAUAGGCAACAUCUCCCUCACUUCCUUCUUCAACCCCAUUUCACACCUUGAGAGUUCAUCAGAUUCAUUAGCAGUGUGGAAUGUAGACGUCCUCAUCCGCA
Molecule: unclassified non-coding RNA, 264 nt
Filed under: Hevea brasiliensis (rubber tree)
Lineage: Eukaryota; Viridiplantae; Streptophyta; Magnoliopsida; Malpighiales; Euphorbiaceae
Source: RNAcentral